UCAUCACCACCAUCAUCCUGAUUAGUCUUUCGGGAGGAUACGUAUUAUCCGGAAGGCAAUUUGAAUUUCCUUCCGAUGAAUAAAAAUUCUAACCCUCGGAAGGUCAAACUUCUGAGGGUUUUU
This is a regulatory RNA element of 123 nucleotides. It matches the Rfam family "Histidine operon leader". Rfam says of the family: At least 6 amino acid operons are known to be regulated by attenuation. In each a leader sequence of 150-200 bp is found upstream of the first gene in the operon. This leader sequence can assume two different secondary structures known as the terminator and the anti-terminator structure. The record is from Rfam.